AGGCUUCUUCUCCCUUGAUGGAACAAUGAAUUAGGGUUGAGAGGCUCUCUCCUCCAGGGGCCAGGGGGUCUGGUUUUAUAGUCCCUUCAAGUGAAUAUGGGCCAUUGGAUCAAACCAACAUAGAUUGUAUGGUUUAGAUUCAUCCUUUAGGUCAGUGGAGAUCUCCCGCAAAGCAGAGUCCUGAUUGGACUCCUGGAGGGGGCGGGCGCCCAGUAGGACAGGGCAGGCGCCCUGCCUCUGGCCCCGUUUCGCCUCCGCUUCGGUCUCGUGGCUUCUGGAGUCUUCUAGAUGUAAGAUAAUUGCGCAGCACGUUAAUAUCUUUACGUAAUCCCGACAUGUGGGCCUUUCUUCCAUAUUUCCUGAUAACCCCCUGCAGAAAUAGACAAACACCAAAACUCGUGGAAUUCUGUCAGAUAAAACCCUAAGUCUGGAUGUUGAUUUCAUUUGGAUUCUUUCCUUUAUUUAUUUGAUAAUUAAAUUUGAUACUUAAGGACCGUCAACAAACUCCCCCAAGCUUACCUCUUGCUCGUCCCUGAGCAAGGAUAGACUCAUCUAUGGAUUAUAAGUUGUUGUAAUAUCUUUAAAAUUUGACGGUACACAUGCUUUUAAAUAAGAUCUCAUCUCUGAGUAAGACUAAACUGUCAAGACUUAAAACUUACUUACUUUACCUUCACCAUGGGACUUGUAACUGUCACUUCUGUCUUGAGUGGUUAAAAGAUAGAACAGUCUAGCCAAGUGCCAUGUCUCUUAUUCUUGAUCAGCUAUAGCUCUGGGGUUUUUGCAGAUUUUCAAAUAAUACUCAGAGAUUCCUUGUAUGAUUCUCUCAGGUCUCUCUUUUGUGGUAUUUUUGGAUCCUUACCAAGGCAGUGAUGGUAUAUGCCUUCUCUCAAGAUAUGUGGUAUUUGUGGUAUGAGGCAUAGUGACAUUGCCUUAUCUCUCACCCUACUCUAAUAAGGCUUUAAUAUCUGGAGCUCAUAGGUGGGAGAUAAAGUAUACAUACUUAUAAGACAUGUAUUGUAUAGUCAAACCAUGGAUCCAAAGAAACAAAUCAAUAAGUCAAAUCAAGAUGUGCAUGUGUGGCGAAUGAAUGGUGUAUGGUGAUGAUGGUGACAACAAUGGUGAAAACAAUGGUGGUGGAAGUCUAAUUCUACUUUGCUCUUUGAGGGGAUACAUACCUUCCUUGCUUUUUAUGAUGAGAAUGAGAUGCUCUUUUUUUUUUCUUUUCUCUCAAGUGGGUAUCUUGUACCCCUAAUUCUACUGUCGGACACUUGUCCAUUUUUUACCUCUCGUCUCACUUUUUCUUUUCUUUCGAGGUUCCGAGCACUUGCUCCUUUUUAUUUUCUCGUAUCUUUUUCUUUUUUUUUAGAGCAUUCAUCUCUUGUGAUAAUAUAGCAAGUGGUAGUAACAAGAUAACUUGAGCAUUUAUUUCACAAGGGGAAAACUGAAAUAUUUUUGGUUAUUCUCUCCCGGAUUAGGAGUAGAAUAUUUUUGGGUGAUUCUGGAGAUGGAAAUGGAUGGAUAUAUGUGGAUGGUACUUCCGGAGUAGAAGUAGCAUAUAUGAGUGAACGUGCAAGUGAAAUCUUGAUUUAACCACAUGACAAGCUCCUAAGGGUCUACACAGCUUGACCACACUCAAUGCUCAUAAGUAGUAAAUAUUAAAUGUGUGGCUCAAAGUCUAGCAAGCAUGUAUAUAUGGCUGUGGUAGGAAUUUAAACUCUCAUCAUACAGGAACUCAUCAUGCAACAUUUUAAAGAUUUUUAAAGAUAAAAUUCUCCAGAAUUCUAGCAUCUCUAGGAACAGAUAAAGAGCAGCUCAACCUUCCCAUAUCCGUUAACAACUUAGACUUCAAAUCAAGUUUUCAUCCCACAAGUUUAGGUCUAGAGCAAGAUUUAAAUUAUAACAGUUAUGUCUAAACUUGAGAGAGAACUUAAAAUGCGCAAAUUAGGUAGAGCAACUAUUUAUCAGAUCCAUGCUUAAGUUUUAUUAGAUACAGAUUAGCAUAGCCACUUUAUUUAUUUAUUAAACACACUAAGCAAAAGACAUAUAUAUAUAGAAGCAUAAAAUCUUUAUUUGGUUUUUUAUAGUUUAUGUGUAUUUGUAUUCUAAAAUAAUAUAAGUAUAAAGAUAGAUAGAAAUACUUAUCGAGAUAAAUGGGGGUGCUCUCCCCCAAGCUGAAUUUUGACGUAAUUUCCCUUGAUGUAGCUAGCAGGUGACAGAGGUGUAUUUGAAAGUCAGCAGCAUUCUGACAGCGAUUAGAAUGUCCUCCGUCUGCUAGUCUUCUUAAAUUCUGUGGAGCUCAAAUAGACAACAAAGCUUUGUGGAACUGAUUAAGUGUUAGCAUAAAUAUCUAGCCUUUAUCAUGUUGAGACUCCUUAAUAAUUGUUACUCCCUGUUUUUAUAUUUUUCUUUUUAUAGAGCAGAAAAAUAUUUAUUUUAUUUUUAUGCCACCACAGUGAAUAUACUUAUGGGUUUUAUGCCACUCGUCUACUCACAUGGGGCUUACUAUUUUUCACAUUUUAUUUUCUUUUUAGGAUAGUGUGAACUUAAUUAACUAAGUAAACUAUUUGAAAUAAUUGAAAGGGAAAGGAUAACUACCAAGUUUACCUCUUGGCAAGGCGUUCGGUGUUUUUAAGUCCUCCGAAUGGGACUCUCCAUUUUCUUAAUCGUCCUGAGGUUCGUUGGGUGGCGUAGUCGGUACUUCCGGCGGCGCCUCCUCUUCAUGUAUAGUUAUCUUCAUUUUCCACACCUGACUUGGAGCUUCCGUCUCCUCUGGAUAAUUCAGUUUAAACUCUACGUCUUCUGACCUUACAACUUCUCCUUCAUAGUCUGCCCAUCCGUCCUUGAUGAUCUGCCUCCUCUGGUUGCGGUUGCGUCGUUUCCUCACCUGCUUAGAUUCUUCAACGAUAUAGUUAGGGUCAGUAAAAUAACAACGUACCUUCUCUGAGGGGAAGUGCAUAUGGACUUCUCCGGUUCCAAUGUAGAUAAUUGCUUUAACGGUGCUGAGGAAUGGUCUUCCAAGGAUGAUGGGUGGAUCAUACUCGUCUUCUCCCAUGUCAAUAACUUGAAAGUCUGUGUAGACAAAAUGAUCAUCUAUUUUGACUGGGACAUCAGUUACUAUUCCUUUAACUUCUCGAAAUGUCUGUUCUGCCAUCUGGAGUUGAAUGUAUGUUGGUCUUAGUGGCAUGGUUCCGAACAAGAGCCGAUAGGUGACUGCGGCAAUUAUGUUGACGCCCGAUCCGUUGUCGCAAAUCGUCUUGUAGAAGUUAUAUCCAUUUAUGGAGCAGUAGAUGCUUGGCAUUCCUGGGUCGUCCUUCUUGGUCAAAAACGGUGACUUAAGUUGAUGAUCUUGGCCUCCAUGGACUACAGUGACCAUCUUAGCUGACUCGGUCCACACUUGCUUGUUCCUGUUUCUCCUGUUGGUCCUCUUCCUUGAUUUACGUCUGGAUUGAUCUUGAAUUUGUGUAGUCUUGUUCUUGAAGAAAAAUGUCUCCUUCUUCCCUUUGACGUAGAAACUGAUCUUGGCAGCACUAGUAUAGAUGAUAGCUCCCGUGGAGUUCAAGAAUGGCCUCCCUAGGAUGAUAGGAGCUCUCUCAUCAUUUCCGGUCUCUACCACUACGAAGUCUGUCGGGGCAUAUAAGGUACCAACUCGGACACAAAGGUUCUUCACUAUUCCUUUUGGAAAAGUUAUCGUCUGAUCUGCAAACUGCAAACACAUGGUUGUUUCUAAUAAAGGAUAUGUAAAGAAUUUUUCAUAGAGUACCCUGGGUAUAAUGUUAACGCUGGAGCCAAAGUCAUAGAGUGCUUCUGGAAAGUCCACCAUGCCGAUGGAGAUCGGGAUGACAGGGCGUCCUGGAUCGCCUCUCUUGACCGGCAGACGGUCAGUAGAAAAUUCAGUGACGGGGUUACUCCAAUUACCUGCAUCAAACACGUCUACAAGAUUUGCAGAUUUUAAUCCUUCCGGUUGUGAUGGUAUACCGGGGUUAGUAAUAGGAACAGCAGCAGCUAUUUGAUUUAACUGAGAUUCAAUCAUCUUAUUAAAGCUAAUUUGAUUCUUGAUGGCAGUAGAGAAAUUAUCCAUUCUAUUAUUUAUAUUUUCUAGCAUUUUAUCAUUAGAUGCCAAUUUCUUAGAUAGAUUAUCCAUUAGCUUGCCUUGAUUAGACACUAACUCUCUCAAAGGUGGAAAAUUAUUAUUAUUGUUGUAAGAAUUGUUACCUUGAUAAUUACCUGAGUAGUUAGGCCUCUGUUGAUUCCAACCUUGAUUUUGUUGAGGACAGUUGUAGUAGUAGUAGUUGUUGUUGUUGAUGUAGUUCACAUCCUCAAGCAUCUCAGGGCAGCGGUUGCCUGAGUGUCCAGUGUCUCCACACUCCUCACAAGUCAUGUGAGAGUCGUAGAUGUGCAUAACUUCUUUCUUGUCUCCAGCUCUAUCAUCGAGCUUCUUCAUGAGCAGGUCUAGCUUUGCAGACAGCAUGUUUACCUCCUUCAGCUGAUGCAUACCUCCACCUCUCUUGCGUGUCUGGGUUCUCUCUUCAUUCCAGCUUUGAUUGGACGCCAUCUUCUCCACAAGAGCUGUGGCUUGUGGUAUAGUAAGUGAUAAGAAUGCUCUUCCGGCUGCAGCAUCCAUGGUCUCUCGGGCACUGUUGCUGAGCCCAUGAUAGAAUGUCUGCAUCAAUAGCCAACUCUCCAUUCCAUGAUGGGGACAUUCUAGGAUGUAGUCUUGAAAGCGCUCCCAUGCUUCUGGAAUAGAUUCAUCAUUUUGUUGGUGAAAACAUGUAAUCUUCCCAUGGAGAGCAUUAGUCUUGCCCAUGGGAAAGAACUUAGCCAGGAAGUUUGUUGAGCAGAGUGCCCACGUAGUAUUCUUCUCCUUUGUAGCAUAGAACCACUGCUUCGCUCUUCCUAACAGUGAGAAUGGGAAGAGGCGAAGUAGUAUAGCAUCUUUGGAAACUCCUGAUAUGGUGAAUGUGUUGCAAAUCUCCAGGAAGUGUUGUAAAUGAGCACUAGCAUCUUCGUGUGCCUUCCCACAGAACUGGUUGGAUUGCACCAUGUUGAUAAGUCCAGGCUUGAGCUCAAAGUUGCCAUCGAUCUCUGCAGCAGGUCCAGUGCGAAUGUUGUCCGUAGUGGGAGCUGAGAACUCGCGGAUCGAUUUGUUCGCCAUGGCUUCGAACUCUGAAGACAAGUUCCGGUGAUCUUCUUGAUUGGAUGAAGCUUCUUCGUGAAGUGUUGAUGAUCUCUUUUUGAGCUUGGCCCUCGUCUUCUUGAAUAAUGCUUCGGGAUUGUCAACAAAAUUUCCUGGAAGAUGUCUUCUAUUCAUACAUUCCCCUGCAUAAGAUAAAAUAGAAAAAUAUCAGGGUAAAACUGUAUGAGAGAAUAGAUAAGCUCAAUCAUAUUAGUGAUGCGAAUGAUAACUCAAAAUCUUUUAUUCCAUUCCUGAUUGGUAAUCAACCUUCCCCGGCAACGGCGCCAAAAAUGCUUGUUGGGUAUUCUUAACAUCAUUACCAAAAGUAGACUAAGUUCUCUAAAUCUAGCAACGGUGCCAAAAAUGCCAAACCUAUCCCUCACACCACUUAAGCCAAGUUGUCAUCCCCAGCAUGAUAUAAGAGACGCGGUAUUGAAAUAUGCAAUUGCUCUUCUAAAUAAAUAAUGAAUGGGAUCUGCAAGCGCACAGAUUAAUACCGAUGUAGCAUUUUAAACGGGAAGUAUUCCAGGUAUCGUUAUUUAUAUUUUUACCACUGGGAAGGGAUUAGCGAUCAUCACUAUUUAUUNNNNNNNNNNNNNNNNNNNNNNNNNNNNNNNNNNNNNNNNNNNNNNNNNNNNNNNNNNNNNNNNNNNNNNNNNNNNNNNNNNNNNNNNNNNNNNNNNNNNUGGAAGAUGUCUUCUAUUCAUACAUUCCCCUGGCAUAAGAUAAAAUAGAAAAAUAUCAGGGUAAAACUGUAUGAGAGAAUAGAUAAGCUCAAUCAUAUUAGUGAUGCGAAUGAUAACUCAAAAUCUUUUAUUCCAUUCCUGAUUGGUAAUCAACCUUCCCCGGCAACGGCGCCAAAAAUGCUUGUUGGGUAUUCUUAACAUCAUUACCAAAAGUAGACUAAGUUCUCUAAAUCUAGCAACGGUGCCAAAAAUGCCAAACCUAUCCCUCACACCACUUAAGCCAAGUUGUCAUCCCCAGCAUGAUAUAAGAGACGCGGUAUUGAAAUAUGCAAUUGCUCUUCUAAAUAAAUAAUGAAUGGGAUCUGCAAGCGCACAGAUUAAUACCGAUGUAGCAUUUUAAACGGGAAGUAUUCCAGGUAUCGUUAUUUAUAUUUUUACCACUGGGAAGGGAUUAGCGAUCAUCACUAUUUAUUACAGAAUAGAAUAUGAGGUUGAGCAUCUAUCAUUGCAUGUAUAAUUAAGAACAUUAUAUCUAACUCUUCAUACAGGGAUAAGUGUCACAUAAAAGAUAUAUGAAGUAAUAAUAGUGACAAGGAUAACUAAUCUGAUCUAGCCACAUAAUAAAUAUGAUAAGCACCUCAAUUAGAUACUCUAGAAAGUCAUUAGCAUGGUAUUAGAACGAACUACAAGAAUAUUCCCUAAGUUAUUCUUAACUAUAUAGUCUAGCAUAUCAUAGUUAGUGCAAGCAUACUUAGCAAACAUUGCGAGACAAGACUACGCCCAUGCAUAGUGAUAUUAGCAAGGAAUAUGAGAAACAUAGCAAUCACUCCCCUGUAAUAAUGUUGCUCUGCCAGCCCAAUACACGAGAGGGGGACUAUAUAAGAAUCAAUGAAGCUGUCACUAUCACGAACCACCCCACGAUCUGGCAUAUUGGGUACAAUCGCAGAUAAAUACGGUAUAAGCACCACGCCUACACAAUAUCUAUCAUUUACCCAUGGAUCCGAUGGAUAAACGCUAUACAAUCCUAAGCAUGUAUAUAGAUCGAAUCUAACUAAGCCAAGUACAUAACUAUGAUAAACUAAGAACAAUAAAAUCUUGAAUAUAAGCAAGUAGAGCAAAGUCAUAAGCAAUAUAUUGAAGUAGAACAAAGUCAUAUUCAUAAUAUUGAAGAACAAAGAUAAUUAGAAAGCAAUUAGAAACACAAUUAGAGAAUUACCAAGAAUCCUCCUGACAGAUCCGGAAACCAAUCGAAGAUUGACUCCUUCUAGUUCUAAUCCUAUGUAGUUAUGCUAAUCUAGAUGUCUAAUUGAUGUGGUGGCUCUAAUCUUGAUCAGAGGCUUCUUCUCCCUUGAUGGAACAAUGAAUUAGGGUUGAGAGGCUCUCUCCUCCAGGGGCCAGGGGGUCUGGUUUUAUAGUCCCUUCAAGUGAAUAUGGGCCAUUGGAUCAAACCGACAUAGAUUGUAUGGUUUAGAUUCAUCCUUUAGGUCGGUGGAGAUCUCCCGCAAAGCAGAGUCCUGAUUGGACUCAUAGAGGGGGCGGGCGCCCAGUAGGACAGGGCGGGCGCCCUGCCUCUGGCCCCGUUUCGCCUCCGCUUUGGUCUCGUGGCUUCUGGAGUCUUCUAGAUGUAAGAUAAUUACGCAGCACGUUAAUAUCUUUACGUAAUCCCGACAUGUGGGCCUUUCUUCCAUAUUUCCUGAUAACCCCCUGCAGAAAUAGACAAACACCAAAACUCAUGGAAUUCUGUCAGAUAAAACCCUAAGUAUGGAUGUUGAUUUCAUUUGGAUCCUUUUCUUUAUUUAUUUGAUAAUUAAAUUUGAUACUUAAGGACCGUCAACAAUCCCAAUUCCCGGACUCAGAGUGACAUGAAGCUAUGGCCGUUGGAUAGAUAAUACUUUGACUAAGGACUAGGAACUCAUAGACUUGUCUGUGAGAAGCAACUAGAUAGACUGUCCUCGAACUCCUCGACCUCUUGAGGAGAGGUAUUCGCGGGUAAAACUUGAAAGUAAGGAUGCACUAUUAGUAAGCUUUUUAGCAAAACCUUUUGGCUCCUUGCUCGGCCACUCCUUGUCUACCGUAAGCCUGCAUUCCUACUUUCUCCUCUUUUUCCGUCGGGUAAGUCUUGUUGAGUACUCCCGUACUCAGGGUUUUGCAACCCCUGUUGCAGGUGAAGCUCAGGAGCCGACUUGUUUCGGACCUUGUUGUGUGUCCGUCGUCGAGGUUGACGACGAGGAAGAGUGAGCGUGACCCAUGGGCAGGGUCUGUAAAUUUGUAAUCUGUGUUUUAAAGUUUAAGUUGCUCUGCUGGACCUAGCUUGUAAUAACACUCUACCAUUUGGAAGAACCCCUUUUGUAAAUUAAGUUAUGUAAUACUUCCGCUGUUUUACUCUGAAUUAUUAUUUUGAUCUUAUAUCGUCUGUGAUACUGCAAUGUCUUCGCAACGAGUGAUCCUGGUGUUAAGGUGGCCACUUGCCAUCCUGUAAGGGUGAGGAGAAGAAGUUCUCGUUAAUUGACCAACACUGAUGGUCAGGACGAGCUUGCUUGACACGCCACAGGUAGCGGUGGAAUGAGUAUCUAACGAUGCUCAUCGGACUUCUAGAGUGGGAGGAUCCCCGGCAUCGCUGCCAGAGGUCCGUAGGACAAUGACAGGUGUCGGUGGGCCCAAACACUUAGGAGGUUCUGCCACAGCUGGUAUCAGAGCAUUCGUUGCUAAGAUGACUGCUGUAUCUUUUGAAAAACUUCAGAAUCAUUUGGAUCUAAUGCUAUAAACUUGCCUAUUUUGAGUCCAAGUGCUUUAGUCCUACCUUAUCCCUGUCUGUAGGCCUUGUUAGAAUUUUUGAAGUGGUAUGGCGGAGCAACAUAAAGUAUUGCCCUAUGUUGUAAAGUUUUAAGUAAUGUUGUUACGAAUUUCUAGUACGACUCGUAAGUUCGUGCAUGCAUCAUGAUAUAUUACUUGGUUAAAUUCCUUCCUCCUUGUUCGGGUUGGGUUGUAUAGAAUCAAACCCAUUCUUGCUAACCUUUAAGGUCUCCCUUACUAAUCUAAACUUACCCUCUACAGGAUGGCUCGUUGGAAGCAGAUCCCACGCAAGAGGACUGGUCCAAAAGGGGUCCCCAGACACCAGUUGGCCCCGCGAAGCGAUCAAGCAAGCAGUAGCCGUUCACCGCCUCAGCAGGAGGUGGAAAGGUUGUCCGCCGAGCUAACCAAAGUGACGAGAGAAAGGAUGUACAAUGUCAUGGAGAUCGGUGAACUUAAAGCCCAACUAGCAAAGCAAACACAAGCCACGGAGAACUGCGAGGCGAUGCUGUCUGGUAUGGUGGAAGAAAGGAACGCCGAUAUUGCCCGAGAAGAGGAGGCCAGGAGUCCACACAGGCACGAGCUAACCCGGAUGAAGGCGAAGCUGGACAAAACCAAGUACCUUAAAGAUCUGUACGUGAAGAUGGCGGCCACUAUCACCACGCAGAGGGAUGUCGCGUGGUAGCGGGAGGACCAGCUACAGCUAGAGAAGCUUGAGCUGGCACAUCAUUUAGACAUCGUCAACGACUUGGCAAUGCAAUACCGUGAUAUUGCAUUCGACCUAUAUCAUCAGCUCCAUCCACCUCCAGGUGAAGGGGAGGUGGAUACGGACGAAGAGUUGGCGGAUGCUGGGGAACCCGACCAAGACCUCAGUGACGAGGAGGAAUCCGACUCCGGUGACGACAACCCGGGAGGUAAUCAGGACGAUGGCAAUGAUGACCCGGGCUACAGCUCCGGCCACACCGACUAGUACGGUGAAGUCGCGGGCAACGUCGUUGUAGGAUUCCUAGUCUACCGUAGUGGGCUCGGGUCUAUAGUAUAGAGUUUUCUUUCAGUUUAAGAAGUUGUACUCGUUUGUUUCCAGUGUGUUGAACUGAUGUUUGAUAAAUAAAUGGAAGUAUGUAAGAUAUGUUCUAAGUUAUGAAUUCCAUGUGGUAACAAGUACAUAUGACUCUUAUAGCAGAUGCCGAUGCGUACACGAGGAUCUGAUGGAGCCGGGACAUCUCAGGGAUGGGAGGACAUCCCCAACCCUCCACCUGCUCCACCUUCCCUGGCUGAUGCCAUUGCUGUUCUUUUGAGUGCCACUACCGACAACGCUCGCUUUUUGCGCGAGUUAGCACAACGUCAAACACACCCCGCCCCAAACUUCAGAGCACUACACAAUGGGGACGGAGAAACUCGGUACGUGGACUUUACCGAGACAAGGCCCCCGGUAUUCACUAAGGCUGAGGAGCCAUUAGAAGCUGAUGAUUGGCUCCGAACAAUGGAGCACAAGUUCAGUCUGAUCCGAUGUUUGGAAACUCAGAAUCCCCUGUUCGCAGCUCAACAGCUUCGGGGUGCUACGGGUGCCUGGUGGGAGAACUUCCUAGCUAUCCAAGCUCCUGGGCACCAGGUCACCUAGACAGAGUUUAAGGACGCGUUCCGCGCCCAUUACAUCCCUGAAGGGCUUAUGGCCAUAAAGGCCAAAGAGUUUCUCGCCUUGCAGCAAGGCGAUAAGAGUGUCAUGGAAUACGUGGCAAAAUUUAAUCACCUCUCUCAGUACGCCACGGACCAUGUGAACACGGACAGAAAGAAGAAGGCCUGUUUCAUGCGUGGUCUUAAUACCAAACUUCAGACAAUGAUGACCACGUGUCAAAAUGCUACUUUCUACGAGGCGGUAAAUAUUGCCAUCGCCUCAGAAGAAAAGAAUAGAAAGCACAAAGAAGCCAAGAAGAAGGCUGCUUCUUCCUCCUUCUCUGGUCGCGGUCAAAAGCGCCAGAGAAUCAUUUAUCAUCCACAAGGACACAGAUGCUUUCCAGCGCCGACACCUUAGCGUGGUCCUUUUUCCCCUCCACAAUAUAGACCAGGGCAGCAGGUAUAUCCUCAACCUACUGCCAUCGCCACUGCACCACGCCAGCCGAACGCCCCAGGUGUUCGCCCCACUGCUCCGCCCAGCCACAAUUAUCCUUGUUUCAAUUGUGGUAAGCCUGGGCAUUUUUCUAAAGAAUGCCCCUACCCCCGCCAAACCAACCCCACUUUACAAAGGCCACCCAUGGGCCAACCCCAGCCGAGCCAAUUCAGGACUGGGGCUCAGAAAGGACAAAAUGUGCAAAGGGGUAAACCAGCGAAGAAAGUGGGACAAGUCUUCCAUACAGAGGUGGAGACGAUCCAGGAGGGUGAACCAGUAAUGAUGGGUACGUUUCCUGUUGCGAAACAUCCUGCUUUAAUGCUUUUCGAUUCUGGUGCAUCUCAUACAUUCAUCAAUCGCACCUUUGUGAUAAAGCAUGGCAUAGACAUUGGGGAAACAAAAGAUCAUUUUUAUAUACCGUCGCCAGGAGGACGGCUGAGUUCUAAAGAAAUGGUUCACCAGAUACCCAUCGAAUUUGGUGGGCAUAGUUUUCCCACUGGAAUGAUUGUUCUUAAAGACCAGGAGAUUGAUGUCAUACUAUGCAUGAACUGGAUGGCACAACGAGGGGUUGUGCUAGAUACCUUGCAUCGAACCAUUAAAAUCCCAUUGCCCAAUGAGAAUUCUUACCUUCUAAUCCAGUUAGCUACUCCCAAAUGGGCAAUUGGGCAGGUUCAUGACACUAAUGUGGCUGCAGUCACAAAUAUCCUGGUGGUUCGGGAUUUUCCGGAUGUAUUUCCUAAAGACCUACCAGGUCUGCCACCGGACCGGGAUGUCCAGUUCAGUAUAGAAUUGAAACCAGGGACAACCCCAAUAUCUCGAAGGGCCUACCGAAUGGCACCGAAAGAACUGGCCGAAUUAAAAACCCAACUACAAGAGCUAUUGCAGAAAGGUUUUAUUCAGCCCAGUUCCUCUCCAUGGGUUGCCCAGCCUUAUUUGUGAAAAAGAAAGAUCAAACAUUAAGGCAGUGUGUCGAUUAUCGUCCCUUGAAUGAGGCGACGAUUAAGAACAAGUACCCAUUGCCCCGUAUUGACUUGCUGUUUGACCAAUUGGCCGGGGCUAAAGUAUUCUCAAAGAUUGAUUUGAGAUCAGGGUACCAUCAAAUCAAAAUUAGGCCGAAGGAUGUACCCAAAACGGCUUUUACAACCCGUUAUGGGCUGUAUGAAUAGUUGGUGAUGUCUUUUGGGUUGACCAAUGCACCGGCCCAUUUCAUGUACUUGAUGAACUUUGUCUUUAUGCUAGAGCUGGACAAAUUUGUGGUCGUCUUCAUUGAUGACAUCUUGAUCUACUCCAAGACUAAGAAAAAACAUGCUGAACAUCUGAGAAUUGAGCUGACCCAUCUUAGAGAGCAUCAACUAUAUGCCAAGCAGCAAAUGUGAGUUCUAGCUGGACAAAGUCCAUUUCUUGGGUCACGUAUUAUCAGCGGAGGGAGUCGCUGUAGACCCAGGUAAAGUAGAAGAUGUGUUGAAUUGGAAGCCCCCGACUACGGUACAUGAGGUCCGUAGUUUUCUGGGUAUGGCGGGAUAUUACCUUCGCUUUAUCCCGGACUUUUCCAGAGUCGCUAAACCAAUCAUGACCUUGCUCAAGAAUCAAACAAAAUUUGUUUGGUCACCUGAAUGUGAGCAAGCUUUCCAGACUCUGAAAAGAUUAUUGACAACUGCACCUGUCUUAGCCCAGCCAGAUAUUGAAAAGCCCUUUGAAGUGUAUUGUGACGCAUCAGGAAUAGGGAUAGGCUGUGUGCUGAUGCAGGAGGGUCGAGUAAUUGCAUAUGCUUCCAGACAGCUUAAACCACAUGAAGAGAAUUACCCGACCCAUGAUCUUGAACUAGCCGCCGUAGUACAUGCACUAAAGAUCUGGCGCCAUUAUCUGUUGGGGAACACUUGUCAUCUAUACACAUUUCACAAGAGCUUGAAGUAUAUCUUCACUCAAGCUGAACUUAAUAUGCGCCAGCGAAGGUGGCUUAGAGUUGAUUAAAGAUUACGACCUUGAGGUGCACUAUCACCCUGGCAAGGCAAAUGUAGUAGCUGAUGCCCUUAGAGGUAAGGCUCACUGUAAUUGCUUAACAGUGAUGCCUAAAGAUAUAACUUUGUGCCAAGAGCUAGAGAACCUGGGGAUAGAAAUGAUUUCCCAAGGAAGCCUUGUCAAUCUAACGAUUGAUUUCAAUCUCGAAGCUCAAAUCAUAAAGGCACAAAAAGAGGACAAAGGCAUGAAAUAUCUUAAAGAGAAAAUUUCUAAUAGAGCACCCACAGGCUUUAAGGUGGAUGAUGCAGGAGUAAUCUGGUUCAAGAACCGGUUAGUGGUUCUAAAGGUACCUGAGCUACGUCAGCAAAUCCUGGAUGAAGCUCAUACUACCAGAUAUUCUAUUCAUCCAGGGAGCAAUAAAAUGUAUCAGGACCUGAAGCAAAGGUUUUGGUGGACGAAAAUGAAGAUAGAGAUAGCCCGCUAUGUGGCCCAAUGCGACACUUGCCGAAAAGUCAAAGCUGUUCAUCUCAAAUCCGCUGGAGAGUUGCAACCUUCGCCUAUUCCAGCAUGGAAAUGGGAUGAUAUUAGUAUGGAUUUCGUAGUAGGGUUGCCCAAGACGGCCAAAGGCUUUGAUUCUAUUUGGGUCAUUGUGGAUUGUCUCACCAAAACAGCACACUUCUUACCGGUAAAGAAAUCGUACUAUACCUCCACCUAUGCUAAGAUUUAUUUUGAUCGUAUACUAAGUCUGCAUGGGGUGCCAAAGACAAUAGUGUCAGAUAGAGGCACACAAUUUGUCUCCCAGUUCUGGAAAUGCUUACAUGAAUCUUUGGGCACCAAGCUUUUAUACAGUACAGCCUACCACCCUCAAACAGGUGGGCAAACAGAGAGGGUGAAUCAAACCCUAGAAGAUCUAUUAAGAUCUUGUGCCCUGAAUUUUCCAGAUAAGUGGGAUGACUCCUUGCCUCUAGCAGAGUUUUCUUACAACAAUAGCUACCAAGAGAGUAUCAAGAUGGCUCCCUUUGAAGCACUAUAUGGCUAUCGAUGUCGAACUCCAUUACACUGGUCGGAACCCGGGGAAAGAUGGUUCUUCGGGGUUGACUUAGUGAAAGAGACUGAGAACAAAGUUAGACAAAUCCAAAAUAACUUGAAAGUUGCUCAGUCCCGACAGAAAAGUUAUGCCGAUCAAAGACGUCGACCAUUAAAGUUCGCCAAGGGUGAUCAUGUGUAUUUGAAAGUAUCCCCAAUAAAAGGACUAAAUCGUUUUGGCAUUAAAGCCAAGCUAGCGCCUCGUUACAUUGGUCCAUUUUCAAUCAUUGACCGAUGUGGACAGGUAGCUUACCGCCUUAAACUGCCCGAACGGUUAUCCGGGAUACACAUUGUAUUUCAUGUGUCUCAACUGAAAAAGUGUCUUCGAGUACCGGACCAGGUUCAAGAUAUCGAAGUUGUGGAACUUGAACUGGAUCUAACUUAUUCGGAAUAUCCUAUCCGAGUAUUGGACCAAAGAGAUAGAGUUACUCGAAGAACAACUACCAAGUGGUACAAGGUGCAAUGGAGCCAGCAUGCGGAAGAGGAAGCCACAUGGGAAUCCGAAGAUUACCUAAUGGAGAAUUUUCCUGAGUUCCACGCUUCUCUUCAAGACAAUAUCUGAUAAAUAGGGAGUGUACUCUAGUGAAGGAAAGGUGUAGCCAAAGCCAUGUACUUAGUGUACAUAUAUGUUUUUAAUUGAAUAAUCUUCCCCAGCUUCUUGUUUUAUGAAAAGGUUGGAGAUAAAAUAGUUUGACAAAUUUCCUUUUUCAUUACGUAUCCUAAGGUUUUAAAUCUCGGGGACGAGAUUUCUUUAAGGGGGAAGGGCUGUAACGUCCCCGAUGUUACGGUUACUAAAAUUGGAUCAUGUCAUCAUAAGCAUUGCAUGGCAUAUUUGUUAAGCACACCCUGAUGCAUUAACUUAAAAUAAGUUUAAUUUUGUUGAAUGUGCUUAGGAAUUCAAAGUGUGUUUAUAUUGUGUAUGGAUGCUUGUGUUGGUGAUUAAAACCCUAGGGUGAAAGAUUUCCGAGAGCUUAGAGGGGGAAACCCUGAUUUUUGAACCCGAGAAUUGCCCCCUUUUGUGCAAUUUAAAAACCAAGCAAAAUUUGAAGUUGAGUUCAAAAGCAAAGUUGUAGAUCUUGUCAAGAUGUGCAACUUUGGUGUUUUGAGUUUUUGAAGUUUCAAUACAAAAUCCAAAGUAAUUUUGAAAAUACAGAUUUCUAGAAAGUGUCCCCUUUUCCAAUUUGAAUCUCCAAUUCAAAAUCUAUUUGGAAUUUUGAAAAGUGACCAACAUGAAAGUUGUAGAACUCAAAAAUUUGAACAACUUUCAUGUUGGGAAUUUUUCAAGUUGUUAUGGAAAAUCAAAAGUAAUUUUGGAAACUCUGAUCUGCCCAAUUCAAAAAUUUGGAUUUCCCUAAUUUGAGAUUUGAAGUUCAAACUGUUUUGCCAAAUUCACAUUUUCCACUUGGAAUCAGCUUUGGACACCAAAUAUAUUUUGUAGCUUGUAAAAUUAUGCACAGCUUUGGUUUUAACAAAUUUUGGACUUUAAUUCAAAAUUUGGUCGAAUUUCACAAAAAACAGAGAAGAGGGGAUAAGGGACUGCUACAGUGACCCGAUAGGGAUCACGGCGCCCCUGUCCAGCACGGCCGCCGCGCGUGCAGCGCCGCGUGCGCGCGUGCAAGCACGCAGCCUGCUUGCCUGCCUGUGUCGCCAGGCGACGUGGAAGCCGAGCAUCUCCUCCGUUCGCGAUAUAAGCCUUUCCACCGGCCGACAUGCUCCUUUUGUUUCCCUCGCGCCCGACGCCGGUGAACUUCGUCGCCCUCAAAAUUUGUCGUGUCCACUCCCUUUCCGAGCCACCUAAGCACACCAGCAGCUCCGCCCUGAGCUCCGCCAUCGUUUGCGCCUCUGAGCGCAAGCGCUAACCCCUCCUAGCCCGCAACCGAGCCGUUUCGCUCCCGACUCCGGCCGAAGCGCCGCCGCGAGCACCUUACCGCGGCUAGGCCUGCUCCAAGCUCAUCUACUGCCCUCGUUUGCUUCGCUGAAAUCGCGGUGAGCCACCGAUGCUUAUGCGCUAUCCAAUUCACGCUCUACUCACUCGUAGUGGCCGACGUUUGCUCGGCCUAGGUGGCCGUCCGCCGCGCCCGUGGCCGUGGGGGCUAGACUAGGAGAGAGCGAGUGUUUAGGGGGUCCAGAGGUGCGCCAUGAAGUGGAGAAUGCGACCAGCUAGUCGCGAGGGGCGAAGACGGCGCGGAUGGCUCGGUCGUGCCGUUGGUUUGGCCGGCCGGAGCUUGAAGACGAAGCUGACAGCGGGGGCCCGCUGUCAGCGACGCCGUGAGUGGAGGCGAGAGCGCGCGCAGCGCGCGUUUGGGCCGAGCGCGCGUGGGCCGGCCUGCGGGCCGAUUUCCAGGCCGCUCGCUGCACAGUGGUUUUUCCUUUUUCUUUUUGUGCAGUUUUUUCUUUAUGUUUGAUUUUGCAUAUUAAAUUGUGUACUGAUUCAAGAAUCAUGAAAAGUUUUGUAUAGAUUCCAUGUAAUAAGUAGAACACAGGAAAAAUAGUAGAUUUUCUUUUCUGGUAGUUUGCAUGUGUAUAAAAAUUGCCUCUUUUAAUUAGCAAAUAAAACUUCUCUGAAUUUUAAUAAUUUAAUUGCAUGUCCAAAAAUCACCAAAAUUUGUGGGGAGUCUCUGAAUAUUAUUCCCUGGCUUCACACAAAAUUUGGUGGCAUUUGGAUAAUGUUUGAAUAAAAUACUAUUAUACCCUUAAUUAAUAAUUAAAUAAUAAUGCUAAAAUAAUUAGAUAAUAAUUAGUUAAAUCCUCAUAAUUAGGGUUUGAGUGAUUUUGGGAUUAUGUGAUGACCUGAGGUCAUUAACCUUAAUGACCUUUGGCAUUUAAUUAUUGUUUGGCCUUAAUGCUUAAUUAUUGUCAUUAAUACUUAAUUAAGAAUUAAUUAAGGUAAAAAGGAUUAAUACUUAGUUAAUCUAGGAUAAUUAUGAAUCAAGAGGAAUCUUAGUUUGCACAUGUAACCUCUUAUGUAAAGACACUAAGAUGAUAAACAAGUUUACUUAUUAGUUAGUCUGUGUUGCACCAAGAAGGCCAAUUGUACUUAAUUUGUUCCUUCUUAUAUAUCUGUCAUUCGCAUAUCAUUGUUGACACUAGCUAACACCACUUAGAUACUAGGUUGUCAUCCCUAGCAUGGCGCCAGAGUGUACAAAGGUAUUUAUAAAUAUAAAGGCUCUCUAGAAAAUAAUCUAUUCUAUCCGCAAGCGCACAGAUAAAAUACCUCAUUGUAGCAUUUCACCAGGAUAAGUAUUCCAGGUAUCGUUGUUUAUAAUUUUGCUCAAGGGAUCUCAAAAAGAUGAAAUUAAAUCAAGGGGCAAAAUCUAUCAAGGCAUAGACUAGAGAUAAACUUGCAAGAACAUGAUUACUAAUGAGAAACUCGUCACACAGUCACAUACUUUAGCAGGGGGUAAACCAUAAAGAUAAUGAUAAUAAAGUAUAAGUUCAUGGGAUAAAGAGCACAGCGAUUAGAAAAUAGACUACUCCUUAUAUAUGUAGGUGAUGUCGGAUUAGCUAGAGAAUGGAUUCUAAGUAAUCUACUAACUACUAACUCAUAAUCUACUCUAGUUAUCUACAAGAUCAUAUAUAGCAUAAAAGACUCUUCAUUCAUGUAUAAGGAACAUUGAUAAAGUAAAUCAGAACAUUGCAUGACUUACUCCACAAUACCGGUUCUGCCUGUCCUAUCAACGGAGGGUGGACUAUAUAAGAAUCAACGAAGCUGUCACUAUCGCGAACUACCACACGACCCAGCCAAUAGGAUACAUUUGCAGAUAAAUAACAUCUAAGCACCACGCUCACAUGUGAUCUAUCACCUAAGUCCCUCGCGUCAAGAGCUAAGCGCUUUGCAAACUUAUACAUAAACUCAUUAUCAAUCAUAACUAUAUCAAAUAUAGAACUAGAGCAAACUAAGAACAUAAUAAUUAGAGACAUAAUGCAAUUAGAACAAUAGAAUUAGAGAAAGAUAUGAAUAAUACCAAUCUUUAUUACCGAAGAUCCGAAUCCAGAGCGUAGUGCUCUACUUCUCUAAUUGCUAUCUAAUCAACCUCUAAACUUGAAGGAUUAGGGAGUAGCUAAUUCUAAUUCUCUGUGGGAGAGAAGCUCUAAACCCUAACUUUGAUGGCUACCUCUGAAUAAUGAUUUCUCCUCCUCUCCUCCAGGGGCCAGGGGGUCUGGUUUUAUAGUCCCCUCAAGUGAACGUGAACCAUUGGAUCAAACCGACAUAGAUUGUAUGGUUUAGAUUGAUCCUUUAGGUCGGUGGAGUCUUGCCCCGAAGCAGAGUCCUGUUUGGACUCCUACCCUGGGCGGGCGCCCAAGGGGGUGGGCGGCCGCCCUGCCCCCGAGCCCGAAUCCCUUCUCGUUCGUUCCCGUGGCUUCUGGACCCUUCUAGAUUGAGGAAAAUUGCGCGGCACGUAAUUAUCUCGUUGUAAACAUGACAUGUGGGCCUUCUCUCCAUAAUUCCUAAUAAACCCCUGCAGAAAUAGAUAAACACCAAAACUCGUGGAAUUCUGUCAGAUAAAACCCUAAUUCUAGAUGUUUGUUUCAUAUUGAUCCUUUUUCAUGUUUAUUUGAUUAUUAAUUUUAGUACUUAAGGACCGUCAACAAACUCCCCCAAGCUUACCCUUUGCUUGUCCCUGAGCAAAUAGCUAAACUUAGACGGAUCAGGAGUUGCUUCGAUGUUUUCUUUCCUGACAGGCACACAUGCUUUUACAUAAAAAUUCUUCCAGAUUAAAGUGAAGUGUUUUGGAGUUUAGUACCUGCACUUAAAUCUUAAGUAAUCGAAAGACAAAAUAGUUAAGUUAAGCACUAUCCCUCCUGUUUAUACUUCACCUUUGUUCCAGAGUUUUUCAUAGGUUUUCAAAAUAAAACUCAGAGUUCCCAGCAAUGAUUCUCUCAAGUCUCUCUAUAUGUGGUAUUUGUGGAUCCUUACCAUAAUGUCACUUACCUAUAGCUAAUGGAAUAUUUAAGUGGAACUCAUAGGAGUGGAAAACAGCUCAUACAUAUAUUGUCUAAUCGAGCCAUGGAUCCAAAGGAACUCAGCAUAUAAUUAAAUCAAGAUGUGCAUGUGUGAUGUAGUAAAUGAUAAUGAAAAUGCAUAAGUGAUAAUAAAACUUAGUUCUCAUUGCUCCUCAUAUUGCUACCUCUCCUCCUCUUUGAUCUUUGCUUUGGGAGAACAUGGGCUAUCUUUUUCUUUUCUUUUCCUUUCUCUUUUUUUUUCAGGUGGGUAGUAGAUACCCCUAAUUCUACUGUCGGACACUUGUCCAUUUUUUCCGCUCAAGUGGGCAUCUUUGUACCCCUAAUUCUACUUCGGACACUUGUCCAUUUUUACCUCUCGUCUCACUUUCUUUUCUUUCUUUUUUUUCUUUCUUUCUUUUUCGAGGUUCCGGGCACUUGCCCUUUUUAUUUCCUUGUAUAUUUUUGCAUAACCCAUGCCUCUUCUGCAUUGAAUCUUUUUAGAGAGAGAGAAUAACAAUAUUCGGGACAGUGAGUGAAAAUAUUUUUAGCAAUUUCAAUGAUUGGUGAUGAAUGCUGUGGUAGAUGUGUGCAAGUGAAUAUCUUAACUUAACCACAUGAAAAGCUCCUAAGGGUCUACACAGCUCGAUCAAACUCAAUGUGAAUAUAGUAAAAGAUGUUAUAGCGAGUAUAGCUGUGGUAGGUAGUUUGUUUUGCUAGGAACUCAUCAUGUGCUUUGUAAGUUUUCAAAAUAAAUCUCCAGAACUUAGUGUAGUAGGAACAAGAUAAACAGUAGCUCAACUUUAUAUUAUGCCUUUCUCUUACCUAGACUUUAGUUUUAUGCUUCCCAAAGAUAGUAAUUUUAGUUUUAGUAAUUCCUGGAAGAAUUCUAAUAUAAAAGAUAGGUACUUGUAAGUAAGCAAACAGAGCAACUGUUCAUCAUUUCCAUCAUGCAUUUUUUUGGUCUUUUUAUUUUUUCUAGAUAUUAAACUUAGCAGAAAAAUAAAGCACACUUAUCUACACACUCUUUUUAUUUUGUUUUCAUGUUUAUUAAAAUGCAGUAAAUUAAAGAAAGAAAAUAUUUAUUUGGUUUUCUAAGUUUUUCCUUUUAAGAUAAAUUACGUACUAAGACAGAAUAGAAUAAAUAAGAAGAGCAAAUAAAAACUUACUUGAUAAAUUGGGAAGGAACUCCCCCAAGCUGGAUGUUGACGUCGGUCUUACCCGAUGUUCCAGAACCGCGUCAUGGUUGUGAUGUUGUCGUUCAUUGUUGUUGUAUCUUGUCUCAGCUCUUGCACUGCAGCAGCAUGGUCCUGGUUCCAUUUUUGUUGCUCUUCCAGGAGUCUUCCAGGUUGUGCUUGCGUGUUCUAGAUGUCGAGGAGGGUGUUGUCGGUGCGAGUGAAGAAAGCACCGGCCUCUUGAUAGUAGUCAUUCGUGAAAGCGUAGGAGGCGACGGAGUAUCGUCCUGCAUCAAAUUGGGGCGGAGGUCUGGAUCCUGAAGCUCCAUAUGGAUCAGUGGAGUACCUGCCCGUAUGAAAUGGCGGGUUUGUCCACUGGUGAUCUUGGCUCUCCGGCCAUGUCUCUUCUGUUGGCUCUUGUGGUUGCGCAUGACGAGCCCAUGGGUCUCGAAGGACUCGAGGAUUGUAAUCGCAAUAAUGCAGGUGCGCUGCUUCUUCUGGUCCAGGGUCAGCUCCAUACCAGGUGCGUUCUCGGUCGGUGGUCAUCCUUUUAGAUGCCACUCGAUGUGGAGCUCUCUGGUUCACUGGUGUUGCUGCAAUCUCAAUCAAAAGAUUUUGCACAACGUAGAGGCCAAGGUUCGGGUUAGGUAACCGAAUCUUGCCUUUAUACAUUACAUUCCCCUCUUUCUUUAACAUCUGAGCUUGUCUAAAUGUGUCAUAGCCAUGAUAAAUUCUUAAUUCUUCUAUGAAGUCCAGUGACGAGUUUUCUAGUAAGUGAAGAUUAGUGGCUAGACGAGUGAUAAGUGAAGUACAUCCUACUGGACCCUGAAGACUAGGUAUACUAAGCCAAUGUGAA
This 20773-nucleotide long non-coding RNA is filed under the name Sorghum bicolor (sorghum). RNAcentral describes it as "long non-coding RNA (SBIC_LNC008281)". The stretch from base 4683 to 4789 matches the Rfam family "Plant small nucleolar RNA R71". Lineage: Eukaryota; Viridiplantae; Streptophyta; Magnoliopsida; Poales; Poaceae. The record is from RNAcentral.